UUUAACAUCAGAUGGAUAGGAAGACCAGUGCAUAAAUAAAAAGGAUAAGUCAGGCUCCAGAGCCGUUCCAUCUCUGCUCAGACAGCCAACCUGGCUGCCAAUAGUUUAAUAGAUCAAGUGAAAAAGAGUGCCAGCCUGAUUCUCCCAAGCCCUGUCUCACCCCUCAUCCUUAGUGCAGACAAAUGCAGAGUUGGAAGUGUUAGCAAUCUUUGAGGGCAGCAGACAGGCCUGCCUAAGAGAAAAAGAUUUGGAGGAAGCAUUCAAUCCUGUGAAAGAAACUAGGGAAAAUCAGAUCAGAGAA
This is a long non-coding RNA of Neopelma chrysocephalum (saffron-crested tyrant-manakin), 301 nucleotides long. RefSeq lists it as uncharacterized. NCBI's taxonomy places the organism in Eukaryota, Metazoa, Chordata, Aves, Passeriformes, Pipridae. The record is from RefSeq and is a predicted model, not a curated record. The transcript has 3 exons.